UACAGAGGUCUCGAGCGUUGUUCGGAUUCAUUGGGCGUAAAGGGUGCGUAGGCGGUGUGUCACGUCGGCCGUGAAAACCUGCAGCUUAACUGUGGGCGUGCGGUCGAUACGGGCAUCACUGGAGUUCGGCAGGGGAGACUGGAAUUCCUGGUGUAGCGGUGAAAUGCGCAGAUAUCAGGAGGAACACCGGUGGCGAAGGCGGGUCUCUGGGCCGAUACUGACGCUGAGGAGCGAAAGCGUGGGGAGCAAACAGG
RNAcentral lists this ribosomal RNA (254 nucleotides) under uncultured bacterium. Its description in RNAcentral is "partial 16S ribosomal RNA". It matches the Rfam family "Bacterial small subunit ribosomal RNA", at positions 524 to 776 of the family's 1533-position model. The record is from RNAcentral.